Molecule: long non-coding RNA, 98 nt
Organism: Etheostoma spectabile (orangethroat darter)
Lineage: Eukaryota; Metazoa; Chordata; Actinopteri; Perciformes; Percidae
Exons: 3
Source: RefSeq, a predicted model, not a curated record
AUCCAAGCACAGCAGCUCCUUCAACUUGUGCAUGAUUCAUCAUAAAGCACAAUGCGGCCGUCAGAUCGGUACACAGAAAAAGUCACCCAGGUGAAUGG